Molecule: ribosomal RNA, 301 nt
Filed under: uncultured bacterium
Lineage: Bacteria
Description: partial 16S ribosomal RNA
Rfam family: Bacterial small subunit ribosomal RNA
Source: RNAcentral
CAGCAGCCGCGGUAAUACGAAGGGUGCAAGCGUUAAUCGGAAUUACUGGGCGUAAAGCGUGCGUAGGCGGUUCGUUAAGUCUGCUGUGAAAUCCCCGGGCUCAACCUGGGAAUGGCAGUGGAUACUGGCAAGCUAGAGUGUGUCAGAGGAUGGUGGAAUUCCCGGUGUAGCGGUGAAAUGCGUAGAGAUCGGGAGGAACAUCAGUGGCGAAGGCGGCCAUCUGGGACAACACUGACGCUGAGGCACGAAAGCGUGGGGAGCAAACAGGAUUAGAUACCCGAGUAGUCCCUGUCUCUUAUAC